UACGUAGGGGGCAAGCGUUAUCCGGAUUUACUGAGUGUAAAGGGAGCGUAGACGGCAGCGCAAGUCUGGAGUGAAAUCCCAUGGCUUAACCAUGGAACUGCUUUGGAAACUGUGCAGCUGGAGUGCAGGAGAGGUAAGCGGAAUUCCUGGUGUAGCGGUGAAAUGCGUAGAUAUAUGGAAGAACACCAGUGGCGAAAGCGGCUCUCUGGUCUGUAACUGACGUUGGGGCUCGAAAGCGUGGGGAGCAAACAGG
RNAcentral lists this ribosomal RNA (253 nucleotides) under uncultured Eubacteriales bacterium. RNAcentral's name for it is "uncultured Clostridiales bacterium partial 16S ribosomal RNA". It matches the Rfam family "Bacterial small subunit ribosomal RNA", at positions 524 to 776 of the family's 1533-position model. Lineage: Bacteria; Bacillati; Bacillota; Clostridia; Eubacteriales. The record is from RNAcentral.